Molecule: ribosomal RNA, 497 nt
Filed under: uncultured bacterium
Lineage: Bacteria
Description: partial 16S ribosomal RNA
Rfam family: Bacterial small subunit ribosomal RNA
Source: RNAcentral
GAUGAACGCUGGCGGCGUGCCUAAUACAUGCAAGUCGAGCGAACAGACGAGGAGCUUGCUCCUUUGACGUUAGCGGCGGACGGGUGAGUAACACGUGGGUAACCUACCUAUAAGACUGGGAUAACUUCGGGAAACCGGAGCUAAUACCGGAUAAUAUUUCGAACCGCAUGGUUCGAUAGUGAAAGAUGGCUUUGCUAUCACUUAUAGAUGGACCUGCGCCGUAUUAGCUAGUUGGUAAGGUAACGGCUUACCAAGGCAACGAUACGUAGCCGACCUGAGAGGGUGAUCGGACACACUGGAACUGAGACACGGUCCAGACUCCUACGGGAGGCAGCAGUAGGGAAUCUUCCGCAAUGGGCGAAAGCCUGACGGAGCAACGCCGCGUGAGUGAUGAAGGUCUUCGGAUCGUAAAACUCUGUUAUUAGGGAAGAACAAAAGUGUAAGUAACUGUGCACGUCUUGACGGUACCUAAUCAGAAAGCCACGGCUAACUACGUG